RNAcentral lists this long non-coding RNA (354 nucleotides) under Gopherus agassizii (Agassiz's desert tortoise). RNAcentral's name for it is "lncRNA (ENSGAGG00000025725.1)". Lineage: Eukaryota; Metazoa; Chordata; Testudines; Testudinidae. The record is from RNAcentral.
CAAGGCUUCAUUUACCAAUAUGAGUAUGUGCUGAUUCGCUCCCUUAGCUGUUCCACCUCAGAAGAACUGCAUCCAAUCCUUCAGUGAGAAGGAAGAGAACAAGGAUAGUGCCCUGCCUCUGAACAACCUACAACAGGGGUGGACAACUCCAGCACUGAGCUCCUGCUGCUGGCCAUGGAUUUCUGGAUAUCUUUUAAAACGAUGACUGAAAACAUCAUACAGCAGUAGAAGAUUUCAGAUGAGAAAUAUUGUAACUCAGUUCUGAAUCGUUAUCUACAAAGGUGGAGUAUGUUUUUCCUUUGUAAAGGAAUACUAGGCUGGUAGAGUGCUACAUGCUGUUGUUUUUUAUAUGUU